RNAcentral lists this ribosomal RNA (397 nucleotides) under uncultured bacterium. RNAcentral's name for it is "bacterial SSU rRNA". It matches the Rfam family "Bacterial small subunit ribosomal RNA", at positions 362 to 776 of the family's 1533-position model. The record is from RNAcentral.
UAUUGCACAAUGGGGGAAACCCUGAUGCAGCGACGUCGCGUGAAGGAAGAAGUAUCUCGGUAUGUAAACUUCUAUCAGCAGGGAAGAUAAUGACGGUACCUGACUAAGAAGCCCCGGCUAACUACGUGCCAGCAGCCGCGGUAAUACGUAGGGGGCGAGCGUUAUCCGGAAUCACUGGGUGUAAAGGGAGCGUAGACGGCGUAUCAAGUCUGAUGUGAAAGGCAGGGGCUCAACCCCUGGACUGCAUUGGAAACUGGUAUGCUUGAGUGCCGGGGGGGUAAGCGGAAUUCCUAGUGUAGCGGUGAAAUGCGUAGAUAUUAGGAGGAACACCAGUGGCGAAGGCGGCUUACUGGACGGUAACUGACGUUGAGGCUCGAAAGCGUGGGGAGCAAACAGG